UGGGGAAUCUUGCGCAAUGGACGAAAGUCUGACGCAGCAACGCCGCGUGAGUGAAGAAGGCCUUCGGGUUGUAAAGCUCUGUCACCUGGGACGAAAACCCCGAUGGUUAAUAGCCAUCGGGCUUGACGGUACCAGGGGAGGAAGCACCGGCUAACCUCGUGCCAGCAGCCGCGGUAAUACGAGGGGUGCAAGCGUUGCUCGGAAUUAUUGGGCGUAAAGGGUUGGUAGGUGGUCUUGUUUGUCUAAGGUGAAAUCCCAUGGCUUAACUGUGGAAGUGCCUUAGAAACGGCAAGACUAGAGUCCUAGAGGGGUUUGUGGAAUUCCCGGUGUAGCGGUGAAAUGCGUAGAGAUCGGGAGGAACACCAGCGGCGAAGGCGGCAAACUGGAUAGGAACUGACACUCAACAACGAAAGCGUGGGGAGCAAACAGG
This 430-nucleotide ribosomal RNA is filed under the name uncultured bacterium. RNAcentral's name for it is "bacterial SSU rRNA". It matches the Rfam family "Bacterial small subunit ribosomal RNA", at positions 355 to 776 of the family's 1533-position model. The record is from RNAcentral.